This 574-nucleotide long non-coding RNA is filed under the name Cinara cedri. Lineage: Eukaryota; Metazoa; Arthropoda; Insecta; Hemiptera; Aphididae. The record is from RNAcentral.
AAAAAAGUGAUACUUCUAAGCCGAAUUUCGAACAUCGGUCAAUUCCAAACGAAAAAGCAUACCUUUGUCUAUAUUAUGGCAUAUUCUUUAGAGAUUUUUUCUAAAUAGUUAAAAUUUUAUGAGAAAUAUAGUCAAAAUUUUAUUAUCGAUCGUUAUCGAAUUUUCACGGUUUUUUCAAUACUAAAUUGAAAAAAAGUGAUGCUUCUAAGCCGAAUUUCAAACAUCGGUCUAUUCCAAACGAAAGAGCAUACUUUUUUCUAUAUAAUGGCAUAUUCUUUAGAGAUUUUUUCUAAAUAGUUAAAAUUUUAUGAGAAAUAUAGACAAAAUUUUAGUAUCGUUCGUUAGCGAAUUUUCACGGUUUUUUCAAUACUAAAUUGAAAAAAAGUGAUACUUCUAAGCCGAAUUUCGAACAUCGGUCAAUUCUAAACGAAAGAGCAUACUUUUUUCUAUAUAAUGGCAUAUUCUUUAGAGAUUUUUUCUAAAUAUUUAAAAUUUUAUGAGGAAUAUAGUCAAAAUUUUAGUAUCGUUCGUUAUCGAAUUUUCACGGUUUUUUCAAUACUAAAUUGAAAAAAAG